RNAcentral lists this ribosomal RNA (702 nucleotides) under fungal sp. PIMO_311. RNAcentral's name for it is "eukaryotic LSU rRNA". The stretch from base 341 to 494 matches the Rfam family "5.8S ribosomal RNA". The record is from RNAcentral. Lineage: Eukaryota; Fungi.
ACAGUAAGCCGCCCUACCCGGCGCUGCUAGUCUCCUCAGGGAGGCGACAUGCUUAAUGUGCGGAGAGCCCCUCUCUCGGGAGGGCAAUCCGCAGUUACCCUAGGGUAAUUCAGAGACUCAAUAAGCAUGGGUUCAGCGCUGUCUGAGCUUGCGAUAGAGCCCGUCCUCGCCGGCAAUGGCGGGGGUUCAACGGAACCUGCGGAAGGAUCAUUAUAGAGUACCCUGGGCUUCGGCCCGCUAUUCUCACCCUUUGUUUACCACACUUUAGUUGCCUUGGCGCCUCGCGCCAGUGGAUCGAAACCCUAGAAUUAUUGCUGUCUGAGUACUAUAUAAUAGUUAAAACUUUCAACAACGGAUCUCUUGGUUCUGGCAUCGAUGAAGAACGCAGCGAAAUGCGAUAAGUAAUGUGAAUUGCAGAAUUCAGUGAAUCAUCGAAUCUUUGAACGCACAUUGCACCCCCUGGUAUUCCGGGGGGUAUGCCUGUUCGAGCGUCAUUACAACCCUCAAGCCUCGGCUUGGUGUUGGGCUCGCCCUGUAGGGCCUGCCUCAAAAUCAGUGGCGGCCACAGCCCGACCUUCAGCGCAGUAAUGCUCGCCGCUGCAAGGAGAGGCCUCUGGCGCCAUGCCAACCCCCACCACACAAGGUUGACCUCGGAUCAGGUAGGGAUACCCGCUGAACUUAAGCAUAUCAAUAAGCGGAGGA